UACGUAGGCAGCGAGCGUUGUUCGGAGUUACUGGGCGUAAAGGGUGUGUAGGCGGUUGUUUAAGUUUGGUGUGAAAUCUCCCGGCUCAACUGGGAGGGUGCGCCGAAUACUGAAUGACUUCGAGUGCGGGAGAGGAGAGUGGAAUUCCUGGUGUAGCGGUGAAAUGCGUAGAUAUCAGGAGGAACACCGGUGGUGUAGACGGCUCUCUGGACCGUAACUGACGCUGAGACACGAAAGCGUGGGGAGCGAACAGG
Molecule: ribosomal RNA, 254 nt
Filed under: uncultured bacterium
Lineage: Bacteria
Description: partial 16S ribosomal RNA
Rfam family: Bacterial small subunit ribosomal RNA
Source: RNAcentral